This 702-nucleotide long non-coding RNA is filed under the name Equus caballus (horse). RNAcentral describes it as "lncRNA (ENSECAG00000046775.1)". The record is from RNAcentral. Lineage: Eukaryota; Metazoa; Chordata; Mammalia; Perissodactyla; Equidae.
GAAAAACUUGAUGUGGCCACACUGGGCCUACUUUUCCACAUGGCAGCAAUUGGCUGGAGCUGAAGAGCAGCUGGCUCUUUGAGACGGGAAUGAACUGGUUGGACGAUUGAUGAUGAUUCAGCAAAAGACUUCUGGUAUUGCAUGACCUCACAGGGCCAGGAAGAUUCACAGAGGAGAGAAGAGAACCCGGCCUGGGAAUGGGUCUAAGGAGUGACUCGCUGGUCUUGGUUAAGGGGAGUGGGGGUAGUCAGAGAAGAUUCCCAGUGGAGGAGGACUCAGGUCUUGAAAGAUAAACGAGAAUUUGCAAGAGAUGAGCUGGACAAGCAUUCGAGGCAGCAGGAGCAGCCUGAGCAAAGGCUCAGAGGUGUGACCAGACGCUGGCUGAAGCUCGGGCUUUGGAAUGAGACAGAAUCUGGAUUCACCACUAACUGCCUGUGUAAUCUUGAAUAAGGUUUUUAACCCCUCUCAGCCUCUAUGUCUAGAGCUGGAGAGUAGAGAGAGAAUGCCACCCAGCUGAUAGAAUUGCUGCGGCGAUGAGCAAGAGGUACGUGAAAGCACCUAAGCGGAGCUCGGGUCACAGAAGGAGUUCCCCAUAAGUGAUAGUUAAUUCUGGCUGAACAAAUAAUAAAGAAAUUAAUUAUUACAUCUCAGUCUUUCAAAUUGCUGCAGUAGGAUAUGUGCAAAGUGCUACAGACACAAGAC